GAGGGACAGAGGGAAACUAAUUUUUGCCUCAAAAAAGUGGAGGGACGGUAGGGAAACUGUGGAGGGACGGUAGGGAAACUGGUGGAGGGACGGAGGGAAACUAUUUUUCGCCCAAAAAAAGUGGAGUGACGGUAGGGAAACUGGUAGAGGGACAGAGGGAAACUAUUUUUCGCCC
Ciona intestinalis (vase tunicate) is the source of this 175-nucleotide non-coding RNA. The record is from RefSeq and is a predicted model, not a curated record. NCBI's taxonomy places the organism in Eukaryota, Metazoa, Chordata, Ascidiacea, Phlebobranchia, Cionidae.